Molecule: long non-coding RNA, 559 nt
Organism: Cygnus olor (mute swan)
Lineage: Eukaryota; Metazoa; Chordata; Aves; Anseriformes; Anatidae
Exons: 3
Source: RefSeq, a predicted model, not a curated record
CUUACAUGUCCUGUGAGCAUUCACUGAAUAGCCCCAUUUAACCCGGAGGGUGGAGGUAACAUUAACUGAAUGUGGUCAAAGUGCAUCAGUGUCAAGAUGAUUCCCCAUAUACGCCAACCGUCUCAUUGAGGGACCCCUGAGAUAUAGGAUAGACUGUGAGGCAGGUGCGUCCAGGCUUAGAUUGUGGGACCCCCGAAGUCACUGGGAAGGGCCACCUGUGAGGUAACCCCGGAAAAAAUAAGAGGAACCAGAGGCGCCAAAAAGCUGGAAGAUGCCGCGAUUACGCAUUGAGAUGGUGGAAGUACUGCACAGAUGCCACUUUGAAGGGCAAGGAGAGGUGAGUGAACCCAAUGGAUGGCCGUGACCGAGGAACCAGAGGCACAAAAAUGUGAGGAGGGCGAGGGGUUUAGGGGGAACGUAUGGGCCUGAAGCUAGUCAUACCGGACAUUAUAUGCAAUGGGUUGCUGAUUUCACGUGAGGUGUACGAUUAAUAAAUCCAUCUGAUACGAACUGCGUGAGAUAUGUGGUGAAGGGCUGUUGUUGAGGUCGGAAGAGGGUC